UUCAGCAUAAGCUGGGGAGUAAGGAGCCAAGGACAUGCCAGUGGAGUUCCUGGGCCCAAGAAUAAUAGUAGAAGUAUCCUAAUAGCAUUGGAUGGUCCUGCUCAGUGAGACAGUUUGGGACAUGAGGUUGGGUGGAAGGAGAGGCAGAUGAAUAGCCACACAGAUGGAUAGGUGGACUACCCAGGGAUGGAUCAACUGAUGGAUGGAAUAGUAGGUGGAAAGUAGAUGAAAGGGGAGAUGAACAAAUAAUAAGCAGAUACAUGAAUGGAUUGUUGGAUAGGUAAACUGGUGAAUGGCUGGAUAUGUAUGUGGAUGGAUAUAUAAGUGAAUUGGUGGGUGGGCAGAAGGGCAGAUAAAUGAAUGGAUAGCAGAUGAAUGGAUAAUUGGACUGAUGGGUGGAUUUGUGGAUAUACAGAUGAUGGGUGAUUAACAGAUGGAUGAGCUGAUGGAUGAGUGGGUGGGUGAUAAAUGAAUAAAUGAGAGUUUGAUGGAUGACUGGGGAGGCAGGAAGAUGAAUGGAAAAGCAGGAGGAAUACAAAAAGAUAGGUAGAGUGACAAGCGGAUUGAUGGUUGGAUAGGUGAAUAGAUGGAAAAUGGAUGAAUGGAUGGAUUUGUGGGUGAAUUAGUUGAUAGAUGGGUAUAAAGUAGAUGGAUAGGCAAACCAAAUGAGUGAGUAAAUGGGUAAUAUAAAGGUAGAUGGUAGGUGGGAGGCUGGAAGAAUGGAUGGGCACAUAGAUGAGUAGAUGAAUGGCUAUGCUGAUGAGUGGAUAACCAGAUGGAUAGAUGUUAUAUAGUUGGGUAGAUGAAUAGACAGACAGAUGGAUGCUUGCAUGCCUCAGUGAGUCAAUGAAUGGCUAAACGUAUAGCUAGGUGGCUAAAGAGAUGAACUGAUAGGAAAUUGGACUGGCAAAUGUAUGGGUAAAUAGGUAGCUAGAUGGAUAGAUAGACGGUUGGAUGGGCUGAUACACUGGUAGGUAGACAUGCAGAAUGAUUUAGGCAUGACAGUUAAGAACAAAGUCUUUGGAAUCAGGAUGCCUGAGUUUAAAUCUCAGUUCAGUCAUUUACUAGCUACGGGAUCUUAGCCAAAUUACUUUUUUUUUUUUUAAUCUCAAUUUCUUUAUCCCAAAAUAAGAAUAAUGGUACUUACUUUACAUAGGGUGAUUGUUAAGUUAAACGAGACAGUCUGUGAAUGUGCUGAGAACAAUGCCUGGAAUACAGUAAAGCUCAGAGUGGUAAAAAAAAAAACAACCAAACAAAAAAAAG
Molecule: long non-coding RNA, 1263 nt
Organism: Sapajus apella (tufted capuchin)
Lineage: Eukaryota; Metazoa; Chordata; Mammalia; Primates; Cebidae
Exons: 2
Source: RefSeq, a predicted model, not a curated record